Molecule: ribosomal RNA, 492 nt
Filed under: uncultured bacterium
Lineage: Bacteria
Description: partial 16S ribosomal RNA
Rfam family: Bacterial small subunit ribosomal RNA
Source: RNAcentral
AGUGAACGCUGGCGGUAGGCCUAACACAUGCAAGUCGAACGGCAGCACAGUAAGAGCUUGCUCUUACGGGUGGCGAGUGGCGGACGGGUGAGGAAUACAUCGGAAUCUACUUUUUCGUGGGGGAUAACGUAGGGAAACUUACGCUAAUACCGCAUACGACCUACGGGUGAAAGCAGGGGAUCUUCGGACCUUGCGCGAUUGAAUGAGCCGAUGUCGGAUUAGCUAGUUGGCGGGGCAAAGGCCCACCAAGGCGACGAUCCGUAGCUGGUCUGAGAGGAUGAUCAGCCACACUGGAACUGAGACACCGUCCAGACUCCUACGGGAGGCAGCAGUGGGGAAUAUUGGACAAUGGGCGCAAGCCUGAUCCAGCCAUACCGCGUGGGUGAAGAAGGCCUUCGGGUUGUAAAGCCCUUUUGUUGGGAAAGAAAAGCAGCAGGUUAAUACCCCGCUGUUCUGACGGUACCCAAAGAAUAAGCACCGGCUAACUUCGUG